This 2857-nucleotide ribosomal RNA is filed under the name human gut metagenome. Its description in RNAcentral is "bacterial LSU rRNA". It matches the Rfam family "Bacterial large subunit ribosomal RNA". The record is from RNAcentral.
UAAAGCAAGAAAGGGCGUAUGGGGAAUGCCUAGGCACACUCCGGCGAAGAAGGACGCAGCAAACAGCGAAAUGCGACGGUGAGCGGUAAGCACGUGAAGAGCCGUCGAUAUCCGAAUGGGGGAACCCACACGGAGUCAUAUCCGUGUAUCACAUGUCGAAUACAUAGACAUGAUGAGGCGAGACGCAGGGAACUGAAACAUCUAAGUACCUGCAGGAAGAGAAAAUAAGAAUGAUUUUCUGAGUAGCGGCGAGCGAAAGGGAAAGAGCCCAAACCGAUCUUAGGAUCGGGGUAGUAGGAUCAUCGAGAAAUCUGACAGAGGAUCAUAGAGGAAUCACAUGGGAAGGUGAGCGAGAGAGGGUGAGAGCCCCGUACUCGAAAUGAGAGACUGGAGAGAGAUGACACCUGAGUAGGGCGGGACACGAGAAAUCCUGUCUGAAUCGGCCGGGACCAUCCGGCAAGGCUAAAUACGAGAGAGUGACCGAUAGUGAACCAGUACCGUGAGGGAAAGGUGAAAAGAACCCCGGGAGGGGAGUGAAAGAGAACCUGAAACCAUAUGCCUACAAGAAGUCAGAGCCCGUUAAAGGGUGAUGGCGUGCCUUUUGUAGAAUGAACCGGCGAGUUACUGUAUGGAGCGAGGUUAAGCAGGAUAUGCGGAGCCGAAGCGAAAGCGAGUCUUAAGAGGGCGAGAGUUGCAUGCAGUAGACCCGAAACCGGGUGAUCUAGCCAUGACCAGGUUGAAGUUGGGGUAAAACCCGAUGGAGGACCGAACCGACCCCCGUUGAAACGUUGGCGGAUGAGUUGUGGCUAGGGGUGAAAUUCCAAUCGAACCCGGAGAUAGCUGGUUCUCCCCGAAAUAGCUUUAGGGCUAGCGUCGAGGUAAGUUGCGUGAAGGUAGAGCACUGAAUAUGUGAUGGCCCCAUCUCGGGGUACUGAGCAUAAUCAAACUGCGAAUGUCACGCCAACAUGCUCGGCAGUCAGACAGCGGGUGAUAAGGUCCGUUGUCAAGAGGGAAACAGCCCAGACCAUCAGCUAAGGUCCCAAAGUGCAUGCUAAGUGGAAAAGGAAGUGGAGACGUGCAGACAACUAGGAGGUUGGCUCAGAAGCAGCCAUCCUUCAAAGAGUGCGUAACAGCUCACUAGUCGAGUAUCUCUGCGCCGAAAAUUAACCGGGGCUAAGCAUAGUACCGAAUCUAUGGAUUUAUAUUUCGAAUAUAAGUGGUAGGGGAGCGUUCCAAACAGCAUAGAAGGCAUACCGAAAGGAGUGCUGGAGCGUUUGGAAGUGAGAAUGCCGGUGUGAGUAGCGAGAUGUAGGUGAGAAUCCUACACACCGAUAGACCAAGGUUUCCAGGGGAAGGUUCGUCCGCCCAGGGUUAGUCGGGAGCUAAGGCGAGGCCGUAAGGAGUAGUCGAUGCACAACGGGUUAAUAAUCCCGUACCGGCUUGGUAAUGUUUGAGUUGCAUAUUGACGGAUGAGUGGAUGCUGGCGAGGUGAUGAACGUCCUCGUCUAAGGUGUUGUAAGGCACUGAUGGGACUUUGAGGCUACGGCCGAGGGGGAUCAGCAAUAGCUAAUUCCAGGAAAAUUUAUGCAAUUAAUUAUCAGGUUGCCCGUACCGCAAACCGACACAGGUAUCCGGGAUGAGUAUUCUAAGGCGCGUGAGUUAAAUCUCUCCAAGGAACUCGGCAAAAUGGCCCCGUAUCUUCGGUAGAAGGGGUGCCAACGCGAGUUGGUCUCAGUAAAGAGGCCCAACCGACUGUUUAUCAAAAACACAGCUCUCUGCCAAGUCGCAAGACAACGUAUAGGGAGUGACAUGUGACCAAUGCGGAAAGGUGAAAACUGCUUGUGAAAGCUUGUGGUCUAAGCCCCCGUGAAUGUCGGCCGUAACUAUAACGGUCCUAAGGUAGCGAAAUUCCUUGUCGGGUAAGUUCCGACCUGCACGAAUCAUGUAACGAGUUGGGUGCUGUCUCAGGGAGAAGCUCAGUGAAAUUGUAGUCGCGGUUAAGAUGCCGCGUACCCGCAGAAGGACGGAAAGACCCUAUGAACCUUUACUGUAAACUGAUAUUGUCGUUUGAUUUUUAAUACGUAGGAUAGCCGGGAGGCUAUGAGUUGUCACUCCAGGGUGAUGAUGAGCCGCAAUGUGAAAUACCGGUUUUUAACUAUUAGGCGUCUAACCACAUACCGUGAGCCGGUUGUGGGACAGUGUUAGUGGGUCAGUUUGACUGGGGCGGUCUCCUCCUAAAAAGUAACGGAGGACUGCGAAGGUUCCCUCAGACCGGAUGGUAAUCGGUCGUCGAGGAUAUGGCUAAAAGGGAGCUUAACUGUGAGACCUACAAGUCGAGCAGAUGGGAAACCAGGCCCAAGUGAUCCGGCGAUAGCUCGUGGGAGCGUCGUCGCUUAUGGGACAAAAGGUACUCUAGGGAUAACAGGCUGAUUUCGCCCAAGCGUUCAUAGCGACGGCGAAGUUUGGCACCUCGAUGUCGGCUCAUCACAUCCUGGGGCUGUAGAAGGUCCCAAGGGUUUGGCUGUUCGCCAAUUAAAGUGGUACGCGAGCUGGGUUCAGAACGUCGUGAGACAGUUCGGUCCUCUAUCCUCUGUGGGCGUUGGAAAUUUGAGGGGUUCAUUCCUUAGUACGAGAGGACCGGGAAUGACGUAUCCCUGGUGUUCCGGUUGUCGUGUCAGCGGCAGCGCCGGGUAGCUAAAUACGGAAAGGAUAAGCGCUGAAAGCAUCUAAGCGCCAAGCCUCUCCCAAGAUUAGAUUUCCAUGAGGGACCGGGAAGACGACCCGGUUGAUAGGGCGGGAGUGUAAGCGCAGUAAUGUGUUGAGCUAACCGUUACUAAUAACCCGAAAGUUUGUUCAC